GACGAACGCUGGCGGCGUGCUUAACACAUGCAAGUCGAACGGUGAAGCGCCUUCCUUUUUGGUGGGUGUGGAUGAGUGGCGAACGGGUGAGUAACACGUGAGUAACCUGCCCCCUUCUUCUGGAUAACCGCAUGAAAGUGUGGCUAAUACGGGAUAUUCUGGGUCUGUCGGAUGAUGGGUCUGGGAAAGAUAUUGUUUCGGUGGGGGAUGGGCUCGCGGCCUAUCAGCUUGUUGGUGGGGUGAUGGCCUACCAAGGCGGUGACGGGUAGCCGGCCUGAGAGGGUGGACGGUCACACUGGGACUGAGACACGGCCCAGACUCCUACGGGAGGCAGCUGUGGGGAAUAUUGCACAAUGGGCGCAAGCCUGAUGCAGCGACGCCGCGUGAGGGAUGGAGGCCUUCGGGUUGUGAACCUCUUUCGCCAGUGAAGCAGGCCUGCCUCGUUUGUGGGUGGGUUGACGGUAGCUGGAUAAGAAGCGCCGGCUAACUACGUG
RNAcentral lists this ribosomal RNA (494 nucleotides) under uncultured bacterium. RNAcentral's name for it is "partial 16S ribosomal RNA". It matches the Rfam family "Bacterial small subunit ribosomal RNA", at positions 28 to 507 of the family's 1533-position model. The record is from RNAcentral.